GAUGAACGCUGGCGGUGUGCCUAAUACAUGCAAGUCGAGCGAACGGACGAGAAGCUCGUGCUUCUGCUGUUAGCGGCGGACGGGUGAGUAACACGUGGAUCACCUUCUUCUAUGACUUGGAUGAUUUCGGGAAACAGCAGCUGAUACUGGAUAAUACUAUCUACCGCUUGGAGCAAAAGUGAUAGAGGCUUUUGCUGUUACUAAUAGCUGGUUCCGGGUUGCAUUAGCUAGUUGGUAAGGUAACGGCUUACCAAGGCAACGAUGCAUAGCCGACCUGAGAGGGUGAUCAGCCACACUGGAACUGAGACACGGUCCAGACUCCUACGGGAGGCAGCAGUAGGGAAUCUUCCGCAAUGGGCGAAAGCCUGACGGAGCAACGCCGCGUGAGUGAUGAAGGUCUUCGGAUCGUAAAACUCUGUUAUUAGGGAAGAACAUAUGUAUAAGUAACUCUGCACAUCUUGACGGUACCUAAUCAGAAAGCCACGGCUAACUACGUG
RNAcentral lists this ribosomal RNA (497 nucleotides) under uncultured bacterium. RNAcentral's name for it is "partial 16S ribosomal RNA". It matches the Rfam family "Bacterial small subunit ribosomal RNA", at positions 28 to 507 of the family's 1533-position model. The record is from RNAcentral.